Molecule: ribosomal RNA, 518 nt
Filed under: uncultured bacterium
Lineage: Bacteria
Description: bacterial SSU rRNA
Rfam family: Bacterial small subunit ribosomal RNA
Source: RNAcentral
AGAGUUUGAUCCUGGCUCAGAACGAACGCUGGCGGCGUGCUUAACACAUGCAAGUCGAACGAGUGUAGCAAUACAUUCGUGGCGAACGGGUGCGUAACACGUGGAUAACCUUCCUUGAGGUGGGGAAUAACCCCGCGAAAGCGGGGCUAAUACCGCAUAACAAAGCGAUGGCACAUGCUGUUGCUUUCAAAGGAGCAAUUCGCCACAAGAGGGAUCCGCGGCCGAUUAGCUAGUUGGUGAGGUAACGGCUCACCAAGGCUAUGAUCGGUAGCCGGACUGAGAGGUUGGCCGGCCACACUGGAACUGAGACACGGUCCAGACUCCUACGGGAGGCAGCAGUGGGGAAUCUUGCGCAAUGCGCGAAAGCGUGACGCAGCAACGCCGCGUGGGGGAAGAAGGCCUUCGGGUUGUAAGCCCCUUUCAGUUGGGACGAAGCUUCGCCGGUGAAUAGCCGGCCGGAGUGACGGUACCUUCAGAAGAAGCCCCGGCUAACUACGUGCCAGCAGCCGCGGUAAUAC